RNAcentral lists this long non-coding RNA (280 nucleotides) under Mytilus galloprovincialis (Mediterranean mussel). Lineage: Eukaryota; Metazoa; Mollusca; Bivalvia; Mytilida; Mytilidae. The record is from RNAcentral.
CGAAGGUUAAAUAUAGUGUAGUAUCUUAUGUGUCCAUUUGUGUUAAAUUUCCACAGGAUAUUAAAGUAGCGUGACGCAUAAUAGUUCCUCUUUUCUUGGGAGACGUAGCGUACCUACGUAGCGUACACCAUGUUGGAAUCCGUGAAAAACGCGAAAUAGGACGUUAUAAUUUGACGUUUUUUCAUUGCUAGAAACAACGUCAUAGAGCUUUUAUGUCACUACCAAGUUGCGUUAGCUGAUGCGCAUAAACAAUAGGCUGUUUGGUCUUUAAAAUAUUAUU